This is a long non-coding RNA of Astatotilapia calliptera (eastern happy), 1355 nucleotides long. Lineage: Eukaryota; Metazoa; Chordata; Actinopteri; Cichliformes; Cichlidae. The record is from Ensembl.
CUCCACACACCAGCCUAAAGAAGCAAAAAAGCAGAAAGAGUCAUUGAGGAAAACAGCUGAAAGAUGCUUUUAAAUUAGUCAAAAAGUUAGGGGUAACCUCUUCUGGCAUAUGUCUAUGCGGGCCCGUGUGUAAAUAGAACAUAAAUUACCGGUGUGUGUAAAUAAAGUGUAAAAUAGUGGUAUAAACUGUCUGUUGAAUUUCUCCUGAGUGUUGAAAAAAGGAAAAACUCUUUUCUGCUCUCUCUGAGAGAGGGGCUGUGUGUGUGAGACAGGAAGUGUGCAUGCCCAUAGAAGGAAAGAGAUGAGGUAAACUCUGUGCAGAUAGACCGAAGUAAAAAAAAAAAAAAAAAAAAGGAAAAGGGUCUCUCUCUGUCUCUGUGAGAGAAAAAAGGUGGGGACCGAGUGAGCCCGCGGGGCCGAGCGGGUCCGCGGGAGCGAGCGUGUAUGCUGUAUGAGGAAGAAGGGAGUGAGAGGGAGCGAGUGAAAAGAGUAAUCGAGUAUUUGGUGAUUUUUUAUUAUUUCAGAGGCACUGGUGUCUUCAUACAGGUGUUUUUUCUUAACCUGGAAGCCUGAGUACGGCAGCAGAAGACAGGCCAAGCUUUGGCUAAAAUUCACGGCUGGACACCAGAGUUGUCCUCACCCCUCCCGGUAAAACAAAAAAGAGAGAAUGUAGUUUGAGGCGGGUUUUUCUUGCUGAACCGCUCUGGGUGCUGUGUCCCUGAAUCUCACCGGUGUUAACCUCUGGCGGAAGACAUGGAGAAAAGGAAAAGAUGUUCCUGAGCCGAAGCUGACCUGGACUCCUACCCUCCCCUCUACCAUCGUUGCCCUCUCCGCGACCAUCUUUGACCCUUUGACCCCUGAAGGCCACAGCAGCUGGACUCACAACAACAACUUGAGGAUGUCAACAGUGCUGCAAAAGAGUGAUCUCAUGCAGCAGAGACGGAGAGCACUAAACCUAAAGCCCGUUUCACUACACGGGGGAAAUUCCCAGGCUGCGUCAGCUGACAGAGCUGUGACGAGACGCGCAUUAAGCCCGGAGGAAAAGGGACGGUGAGCAGAAGGAUGCUGACCUCUGAGAAGAGCCGAACAGCAGAGCUGCAGAAGGCCGUGGAGCAAAGUAAGGAAGAUGCAGGCAGCUGCAACAACGGAUGAAAACAGACCCAAAGAGGAGGGGAGGACCCUAGGCCAUGCGUCAGGCCGCUGGUUUACCUAAACUACAGAACAGAAAGGUGAUGAACACAAACAUAUACCAACACACGAACACACACUUCUGCAUGCGCCUACUUAGAAUGAAGGGAAACACACACAUGAACACUUAUGCACUUGUUGAGGGAGUAAAAACUGAUACAUACCCA